RNAcentral lists this ribosomal RNA (253 nucleotides) under uncultured bacterium. RNAcentral describes it as "partial 16S ribosomal RNA". It matches the Rfam family "Bacterial small subunit ribosomal RNA", at positions 524 to 776 of the family's 1533-position model. The record is from RNAcentral.
UACAGAGGUCUCGAGCGUUAGGCGGAAUCACUGGGCUUAAAGCGUGUGUAGGCGGAUCGGUAAGUACCUUGUGAAAUCCCACAGCUUAACUGUGGAACUGCUUGGUAUACUGCCAGUCUUGAGCCAGCUAGGGGCGACCGGAACAAAUGGUGGAGCGGUGAAAUGCGUAGAUAUCAGGAAGAACACCUAUGGCGAAGGCAGCUCUCUGGGACGGUACUGACGCUGAGACGCGAAAGCGUGGGGAGCGAACAGG